Molecule: long non-coding RNA, 625 nt
Filed under: Malus domestica (apple)
Lineage: Eukaryota; Viridiplantae; Streptophyta; Magnoliopsida; Rosales; Rosaceae
Description: long non-coding RNA (MDOM_LNC003923)
Source: RNAcentral
ACCCCUCACCCACUGACACCCUUCCCUUUCCUGAUACCCACCCCUACCACCAACCCUUUUCUCCUUCCCCAAAAACCCAGCCCCUUCCCUUCCCCCAAAACCCUAAAAUUCCCUCUCUCCCUUCUCAUAUCUGCAAAUACAAAACAACAAAACAACCCUCACACGAACUUUCUGCAAAUUCACAAAUUCUAAUUUCAAACUUAAUUAAAAAAAAUGAAGUGCAAAUCUAUCCAUGCGCUGCAGAACCUCGAAACGACGUGAUUCCUGGAGGCAAAGAAGAAGCUCCGAUGUCUAGUCCAUCGUUCAAGCUUGGUGUCAAGUCCAUCGUCGUCUAAAGUACUCUAGCCCACCAUCGCUGUCUCCUCCCAUUAAACCAACCACCGCUGACUCUACCGAUCCCUCAAUCUCCGUUUUACAACCGCAAAACCUAUCUCAUUAUUUUCUUUCUCCUUCUCUAUUUCUCCUGCAGCAAGAGUUCUGGCUUGCCUAGUUUUAAUUUUAAGUUUAAUUGGAGCAAAAAAUGGAGCUAUGAAUUCGAGGGAAUUGCAAAAAUAGGAUCUGCAAUUUGGUGAAUCUGAUCCAAUUCAUGUUUGGAGUGCGUGAUCGGAGAAAAUGGCAAGUCGAG